RNAcentral lists this non-coding RNA (185 nucleotides) under Desulfovibrio sp. An276. RNAcentral describes it as "6S / SsrS RNA". It matches the Rfam family "6S / SsrS RNA". Rfam says of the family: E. coli 6S RNA was the first non coding RNA to be sequenced, but its function was unknown until recently. It consists of 184 nucleotides that fold into an extended hairpin structure with a large single-stranded internal bulge. The 6S RNA specifically associates with RNA polymerase holoenzyme containing the sigma70 specificity factor. RNAcentral also lists the same sequence under 1 other name. The record is from Rfam by way of RNAcentral. Lineage: Bacteria; Pseudomonadati; Thermodesulfobacteriota; Desulfovibrionia; Desulfovibrionales; Desulfovibrionaceae.
AUUCCCCUGACCGGCCCGUGAUUUCUCUCCCAGUGCUGACCGAACAAGCUUGAAUUAGGGAGCCGGAUUCUGUUUCCCCUGUGCAUGCCCGGCAUUUGACCGGGAGUCCUAAAGGAAACACACUGGAGCCCACCCUGGGAAACCGGGUUCUACAUUGGCAAGAAACACGACCAGUCGGGGGUCUG